GAUGAACGCUGGCGGCGUGCCUAACACAUGCAAGUCGAACGGAAAGGCUCCUGCUUGCAGGGGUACUCAAGUGGCGAACGGGUGAGUAACACGUGGGUGAUCUGCCCUGCACUUCGGGAUAAGCCUGGGAAACUGGGUCUAAUACCGGAUAGGACGAUGGUUUGGAUGCCAUUCUGGAAAGUUUUUUCGGUGUGGGAUGAGUUCGCGGCCUAUCAGCUUGUUGGUGGGGUAAUGGCCUACGAAGGCGUCGACGGGUAGCCGGCCUGGGAGGGGGGACGGCCACAAUAGGACUGAGGUACGGCCCAGACGCGUACGGGAGGCAGCGGUGGAGAGUAUUGUACAGUGGGGGCAAGCCUGAUGCAGCGACGCCGCGUGGGGGAUGACGGCCUUCGGGUUGUAAACUCCUGUCGCUGGGGACGAAGCGCUAGUGACGGUACCUGGAGAAGAAGCACCGGCUAACUACGUG
Molecule: ribosomal RNA, 466 nt
Filed under: uncultured bacterium
Lineage: Bacteria
Description: partial 16S ribosomal RNA
Rfam family: Bacterial small subunit ribosomal RNA
Source: RNAcentral